AUUGGAGAGGAUUUUGGGUGCCCAAACACAGCUGGAUUUGGCGUGGAGCCCAGGUGUUGCAUCGUCUCCCCCACACAGCUCGAGCACCUCAAGUGCUUGCCCCCUGCUGAGCUUCCACCAGGAGCUUGUCCCUUGCAGCGUCCCCAUCUCUUACCUUUAUAUCGCCUUUUCUUGGGCACCCAUUUAGGUCCGUGGCUGCUUACCCAGUUCCUGAUGCCCUAACGAGGUGGCAAUCUUCUUCCAGUUGAUUGUAGAAAUUCAGAUCCGCGUAGAUCCUCUGCUCCAUGCAGCGUUCUGGGUACUGCCCAGUCACUGAGAUGCUCCUGGCUCUAUGAAGACUUGCAAUCAAAGCACCAGACAAAUGCUGUGAGCCAACUAAACUUCCAGCUGCUUUUCUGAGGAAAUCAUCUGAUAGAGUUCUCCCCAAGAGAGACCUGCAGAGCUCCCUCAGAGAGAGGUCCACGGACUACACCACUGUGGAAGCUCCUCAGAUGAGAGGUCAGACCCAAACGUCAUUCCCAGACACCCCAUACAGGCCACACCACACCUCGGUAUCAAAUAAAGCAUAGUUUAUUUGGCAUAGACUGAAAUGAACUGUAACAGAAAUUGAAGUAGAACAAAGCCUAGUUGCACAAACUGGAACGAGUGCAGUUAGAGUCUCAGUUACAAUCUAAUGCAUAAACAAGGUAAAAAGUACAUUUCAGAGUCUCCCAGUCUUCACUUUUUUUACUCAGAGACAUAGUGGCUCACUGAUGCAUUGUACCUCUCAUCUUUUGAAGAGAUGUCAUCACAAGUACAGUUUUAUUUCUCGGUUACAAUGAAUUUGAUCAGGAAAUCAAGAGACUAAUUACGUGCUGCUUUUCAAAUACUGUCUGUACUUCAAAGAGCACUAGGAGCCUGUUUUAAGGCUUUCAAGUUGAGUACAUGAACCUUGUGCAUCAAAUAACUAAUACUUUGAUAUCUAUCAAAAGAGUCAUGAGGGGGAGAGCAAGCUUUUGCUUAAUAAACUCCAAAACCACACGCUAGGCUUUCUCAACCCUGGCUGAAAUGUCACAAAAACAUACAAGGAUACAGACGAUACCAGAUUAACUUAAACAGCCUAACAAUACAAAUCACACUAGUCAGAGUCACCCAGACUGGCCAGUCCAGCUAGGAAACAUGCUAAUCAGUUGUGCCAUACUCCCCUAAGAGUAACAAGUGAGGUUUUACACUAGGAAACAGUAUCUUGCAGAUUAUAUAAAAAAAAUGCCACUGUCUAUAAAACCAGACCAGAUAAAGCAUUUCAGAAUAAACCAUUAGAAAUGCUUUAACAGCUAAAAAGGAAGUUUGAUUACAGGAGGGCUUUCCUAGAUUCCUUCUUUAUAAUUCAGCAAAUCACCAGUCAUUCAUGUCAUUCAAAGAAAAAUACUUUCAGUUCAUUGUUUUUGCAUGACAGUGUCCUGACCUAGUAGUUAUUUACUCCAGUUAUCCCCCAUAAAUACUCAUAUUUUAUUCACACAUUUCUCUACUCUUCGAGAGAUCUUUAAGUCUUUUCAAAGAUGAAGCCAAAAUUACUUUCUGCAGUGAAAAAAGUAAAUUAUGUGAAAACAUUUGCUCUACAACAUCUAUACCUGGUGCUUCACUUUUUCAUCAAGGUUGUUGUAGUCUAUGAGUUACACAAUUUUAGAGUUAGUCACCAAUCGCUGUUACCUAUAGACUAGGUCAGUAGUAGAGAACUUAAUUUCCUUAAAACAAAAUUUAAAUGUCUCUUUUAACACUGCUGAUCCAAUUACAGCUGACCACUUAAAACAUUUUCAGUACGUUGCUUGUGGGCUGAUUUUCAAGUUCUAUCUGUACGUUUAGUAUUUAUUAAACCUUGAUAAGGUUUCAGAACUGAAAAGCUUGACUUGAUUUAAAUACCAAGUCAGUAACAAGAAUUAGUUUUGAAUGACAAUGCUAAGUGGAUAAAAUGCUAAAUUGUGUGCAGGUUUGUCUUUUUUUUUUUUCCUUU
Anas platyrhynchos (mallard) is the source of this 1990-nucleotide non-coding RNA. The record is from RefSeq and is a predicted model, not a curated record. NCBI's taxonomy places the organism in Eukaryota, Metazoa, Chordata, Aves, Anseriformes, Anatidae.